Molecule: unclassified non-coding RNA, 156 nt
Filed under: soil metagenome
Description: partial internal transcribed spacer 1
Source: RNAcentral
CCGAGUUUACAACUCCCCAAACCCUGUGAACAUACCCACUUGUUGCCUCGGCGGAUUCAGCCCCGCUCCCGGUAAAAACGGGACGGCCCGCCAGGGAGGACCCCCUAAACUCCUGUUUCUAUAUGUAACUUCUGAGUAAAAACCAUAAAUAAAUCA